CUAAUUCAAUUAGACUUAUUCCAAAGCUCUUUAUCCAACUAAAUUGAGUCAAUUAGUAAUAUAAUUAUUAAUUAAUUUUCUAUAAAUAGUAGAGUCUCAAUUUCAGUGGGACUCUCCCACAGUCCUAGUCCAAGUAGGACUUUUCACCAGAGUCACAAUCCAAUUAGACUCUUCAGCCAUGAGAUCUGAUCAAAUCUUCUAAUGCGUGUAACUCCAUAGGUUCGAAUCUAAGUUGAUAGCAUAGAAAUAACUUUCUUUACCAAUCGAUAUAACCAUCUAACAAUGAUGACCC
Molecule: long non-coding RNA, 292 nt
Filed under: Elaeis guineensis (African oil palm)
Lineage: Eukaryota; Viridiplantae; Streptophyta; Magnoliopsida; Arecales; Arecaceae
Description: long non-coding RNA (EGUI_LNC057874)
Source: RNAcentral